UGGGGAAUAUUGCACAAUGGGCGCAAGCCUGAUGCAGCCAUGCCGCGUGUGUGAAGAAGGCCUUCGGGUUGUAAAGCACUUUCAGCGGGGAGGAAUGCGGUGAGGUUAAUAACCUCACCGAUUGACGUUACCCGCAGCAGAAGCCCCGGCUAACUCCGUGCCAGCAGCCGCGGUAAUACGGAGGGUGCAAGCGUUAAUCGGAAUUACUGGGCGUAAAGCGCACGCAGGCGGUCUGUCAAGUCGGAUGUGAAAUCACCGGGCUCAACCUGGGAACUGCAUUCGAAACAGGCAGGCUAGAGUCAUGUAGAGGGGGGUAGAAUUCCAGGUGUAGCGAUGAAAUGCGUAGAGAUCUGGAGGAAGACCAGUGGAGAAGGCGGCCCCCUGGACAAGGACUGACGCUCAGGUGCGAAAGCGUGGGGAGCAAACAGG
This 429-nucleotide ribosomal RNA is filed under the name Chloroflexota bacterium. RNAcentral describes it as "Chloroflexi bacterium partial 16S ribosomal RNA". It matches the Rfam family "Bacterial small subunit ribosomal RNA", at positions 355 to 776 of the family's 1533-position model. The record is from RNAcentral. Lineage: Bacteria; Bacillati; Chloroflexota.